RNAcentral lists this transfer RNA (90 nucleotides) under Desulfovibrio sp. Its description in RNAcentral is "tRNA-Ser". It matches the Rfam family "tRNA". From Rfam's summary of the family: Transfer RNA (tRNA) molecules are approximately 80 nucleotides in length. Their secondary structure includes four short double-helical elements and three loops (D, anti-codon, and T loops). Further hydrogen bonds mediate the characteristic L-shaped molecular structure. tRNAs have two regions of fundamental functional importance: the anti-codon, which is responsible for specific mRNA codon recognition, and the 3' end, to which the tRNAs corresponding amino acid is attached (by aminoacyl-tRNA synthetases). tRNAs cope with the degeneracy of the genetic code in two manners: having more than one tRNA (with a specific anti-codon) for a particular amino acid; and 'wobble' base-pairing, i.e. permitting non-standard base-pairing at the 3rd anti-codon position. Lineage: Bacteria; Pseudomonadati; Thermodesulfobacteriota; Desulfovibrionia; Desulfovibrionales; Desulfovibrionaceae. The record is from RNAcentral.
GGAGAGGUGUCCGAGCUGGCCGAAGGAGCACGACUGGAAAUCGUGUAUACUCAAAAGGUAUCCAGGGUUCGAAUCCCUGCCUCUCCGCCA